ACGAACGCUGACGGCGUGCUUCACACAUGCAAGUCGAACGGUGAAGCGCCUUCCUUUUUGGUGGGUGUGGAUGAGUGGCGAACGGGUGAGUAACACGUGAGUAACCUGCCCCCUUCUUCUGGAUAACCGCAUGAAAGUGUGGCUAAUACGGGAUAUUCUGGGUCUGUCGCAUGAUGGGUCUGGGAAAGAUAUUGUUUCGGUGGGGGAUGGGCUCGCGGCCUAUCAGCUUGUUGGUGGGGUGAUGGCCUACCAAGGCGGUGACGGGUAGCCGGCCUGAGAGGGUGGACGGUCACACUGGGACUGAGACACGGCCCAGACUCCUACGGGAGGCAGCAGUGGGGAAUAUUGCACAAUGGGCGCAAGCCUGAUGCAGCGACGCCGCGUGAGGGAUGGAGGCCUUCGGGUUGUGAACCUCUUUCGCCAGUGACGCAGGCCUGCCUCGUUUGUGGGUGGGUUGACGGUAGCUGGAUAAGAAGCGCCGGCUAACUACGUG
Molecule: ribosomal RNA, 493 nt
Filed under: uncultured bacterium
Lineage: Bacteria
Description: partial 16S ribosomal RNA
Rfam family: Bacterial small subunit ribosomal RNA
Source: RNAcentral